GCUAAAAACUUAGCCUUANCCCUACAAUUAUAUUUACCCUAUUUUACUUACACAAAAUAAAACAUUCUUUAAGCUUAGUAAAGGAGAUAAAAAAGUUUUUUAGAGCUAUAAAAUAAGUACCGCAAGGGAAAAAUGAAAUAAAAAUGAAACAAAAUUCAAGCAUAAUAUAGUAGAGUUUUCCCCUCGUACCUUUUGCAUCAUGAUUCAACUAGUUUAACCACGCAAAAAGAAUUUAAGUUUGACUUCCCGAAACUAAGUGAGCUACUUCAGGGCAGCUAAAUGAGCCAACCCGUCUCUGUUGCAAAAGAGUGGGAUGACCCUUAAGUAGAGGUGAUAAACCUAACGAACUUAGUGAUAGCUGGUUAUUCAGAAAAAGAAUUUUAGUUCAACUUAAAAUUACAUAAAUAAAAUAAAAUAAAAUUUUAAUUUUAAAGCAAUUCAAAUAAGGUACAGCCUAUUUGAAAUAGAAUACAAUCUAAACUAUAGGGUAAAUAUAAAAAAUUAAUGUAAUAAAGUAGGCCUAAAAGCAGCCAACUUUAAAAUAGCGUCAAAGCUUACUUCCAUAAUUUUUUAAUACUAUUAUUUACAAUGAACCCUUUAUUUUUACUGAAUAUUUCUAUAAAGUUAUAGAACCUUUUAUGUUGAAACUAGUAACAAGAAGUUAAACUUCUCCUCAAUAUAAGUAUAAGUCGACUAGGAUAAACCAUCGACAAUUAACGCUUAAAUUAAAUGUAUUAACUCCACAAGAAAAACUUACAUUACCCCACGUUAAUCUUACACCAGAACAUUUAAGGAAAGAUNNAAAAAA
Molecule: ribosomal RNA, 808 nt
Filed under: Engystomops petersi (Peters' dwarf frog)
Lineage: Eukaryota; Metazoa; Chordata; Amphibia; Anura; Leptodactylidae
Description: partial 16S ribosomal RNA
Rfam family: Bacterial large subunit ribosomal RNA (bases 246-362)
Source: RNAcentral